CCUACGGGUGGCAGCAGUGAGGAAUAUUGGUCAAUGGUCGGGAGACUGAACCAGCCAAGCCGCGUGAGGGAUGAAGGUACAGAGUAUCGUAAACCUCUUUUGUCAGGGAACAAAGGCGGGGACGUGUCCCCGGAUGAGUGUACCUGAAGAAAAAGCAUCGGCUACCUCCGUGCCAGCAGCCGCGGUAAUACGGAGGAGGCGAGGGUUUUGCGGAUUUAUGGGGUUAAAGGGGUGCGAAGGGGGUCUGUUAAGUCAGCGGUCAAAGCCCGGGGCUCAACCCCGGCCCGCCGUUGAAACUGGCAGUCUCGAGUUGGAGAGAGGUAUGCGGAAUGCGCGGUGGAGCGGUGAGAUGCAUAGAUAUCGCGCAGAACUACGAUUGCGAAGGCAGCAUGCCGGCUCCACACUGACGCUGAGGCACGAAAGCGUGGGUAUCGAACAGGAUUAGAUACCCCAGUAGUC
Molecule: ribosomal RNA, 459 nt
Filed under: uncultured bacterium
Lineage: Bacteria
Description: partial 16S ribosomal RNA
Rfam family: Bacterial small subunit ribosomal RNA
Source: RNAcentral